AGGUUAAGUUAAUAAGGGCGCACGGUGGAUGCCUUGGCACUAGGAGCCGAAGAAGGACGUGACAAACGACGAUAUGCCUUGGGUAGCUGUAAGUAAGCGAUGAUCCAGGGAUUUCCGAAUGGGGGAACCCAACAGGUACUACCUGUUACCCAUAUCUGUUAAGGAUAUGAGGAGGAAGACGCAGUGAACUGAAACAUCUAAGUAGCUGCAGGAAGAGAAAGCAAAAGCGAUUGCCUUAGUAGCGGCGAGCGAAACGGCAGAAGGGCAAACCGAAGAGUUUACUCUUCGGGGUUGUAGGACUGCAAUGUGGACUCAAAGACUAUAGAAGAAUGGUUUGGGAAAAUCAGCCAAAGAGAGUGAUAGCCUCGUAUUCAAAAUAGUCUUUGUACCUAGCAGUAUCCUGAGUACGGCGGGACACGUGAAAUCCCGUCGGAAUCUGGGAGGACCAUCUCCCAACCCUAAAUACUCCCUAGUGACCGAUAGUGAACCAGUACCGUGAGGGAAAGGUGAAAAGCACCCCGGGAGGGGAGUGAAAUAGAACCUGAAACCGUGUGCCUACAACAAGUUCGAGCCCGUUAAUGGGUGAGAGCGUGCCUUUUGUAGAAUGAACCGGCGAGUUACGAUAUGAUGCGAGGUUAAGUUGAAGAGACGGAGCCGUAGGGAAACCGAGUCUGAAUAGGGCGCCUUAGUAUCAUGUCGUAGACCCGAAACCAUGUGACCUACCCAUGAGCAGGUUGAAGGUGCGGUAAGACGCACUGGAGGACCGAACCAGGGCACGUUGAAAAGUGCUUGGAUGACUUGUGGGUAGCGGAGAAAUUCCAAACGAACUUGGAGAUAGCUGGUUCUCUCCGAAAUAGCUUUAGGGCUAGCGUCGACAUUAGAGAUUCUUGGAGGUAGAGCACUGUUUGGG
This 910-nucleotide ribosomal RNA is filed under the name Streptococcus sp. HMSC056C01. Its description in RNAcentral is "bacterial LSU rRNA". It matches the Rfam family "Bacterial large subunit ribosomal RNA", at positions 1 to 918 of the family's 2925-position model. Lineage: Bacteria; Bacillati; Bacillota; Bacilli; Lactobacillales; Streptococcaceae. The record is from RNAcentral.